RNAcentral lists this ribosomal RNA (464 nucleotides) under uncultured bacterium. RNAcentral's name for it is "partial 16S ribosomal RNA". It matches the Rfam family "Bacterial small subunit ribosomal RNA", at positions 28 to 506 of the family's 1533-position model. The record is from RNAcentral.
GAUGAACGCUGGCGGCGUGCUUAACACAUGCAAGUCGAACGGAAAGGCUCCUGCUUGCAGGGGUACUCGAGUGGCGAACGGGUGAGUAACACGUGGGUGAUCUGCCCUGCACUUCGGGAUAAGCCUGGGAAACUGGGUCUAAUACCGGAUAGGACGAUGGUUUGGAUGCCAUUGUGGAAAGUUUUUCGGUGUGGGAUGAGCUCGCGGCCUAUCAGCUUGUUGGUGGGGUAAUGGCCUACCAAGGCGUCGACGGGUAGCCGGCCUGAGAGGGUGUACGGCCACAUUGGGACUGAGAUACGGCCCAGACUCCUACGGGAGGCAGCAGUGGGGAAUAUUGCACAAUGGGCGCAAGCCUGAUGCAGCGACGCCGCGUGGGGGAUGACGGCCUUCGGGUUGUAAACUCCUUUCGCUAGGGACGAAGCGCAAGUGACGGUACCUGGAGAAGAAGCACCGGCGAACUACGG